UAAAUACCAAUACUUAUACUUUCCAUCCCUCAUUAUAUGAACACUCUCUAUACCACAUAAACCCUAGCAGCCGUACACUCUCAGGCAUUACUCCCAACAACCCAGCUUCGUUCGUCGACGUCGAAGAUCAUAGAAAACCGACCUGUUUCAUCGGGCAUUGCAGAGGAGAGGGAUAGUCAUGAUAAGGAGUCACUACCCUAGCCGGAGACUUGUUAGAGACAUACUGUGACACUGAUAAAAUCAUAGGAGGGGUGGAUAGACAAGGGGGAAAUCGAGAAGACGAAGUAGACGUUGUGGACACAUAUUUGAUUUGCACUGCUAUUGAGGUGAGUACGUAGAUGGUGGCCAGGUUCUCGAGGCGUGAGCGGUUUCCCCAUGGAUAUAGUUGAGGUUAUGGGUAGUGUAGGGUUGAUAUUAUAAAGACUUCCGCUUUGUAUAAAUUAUAAAGACUUAUUAGUUACGUCUCAAUAGAUUUAUGAAUACCUUUAUUUCAUUUUGGGAUUGUAUUAAAUGAUUUUUUUUGAGGAUUUGCAU
This is a long non-coding RNA of Tripterygium wilfordii, 534 nucleotides long. RefSeq lists it as uncharacterized. The transcript is spliced from 4 exons. The record is from RefSeq and is a predicted model, not a curated record. Lineage: Eukaryota; Viridiplantae; Streptophyta; Magnoliopsida; Celastrales; Celastraceae.